Molecule: ribosomal RNA, 252 nt
Filed under: uncultured bacterium
Lineage: Bacteria
Description: partial 16S ribosomal RNA
Rfam family: Bacterial small subunit ribosomal RNA
Source: RNAcentral
CAUCAACGCUGGCGGCGUGCCUAACACAUGCAAGUCGAACGAGAAAGUGGAGCAAUCCAUGAGUAAAGUGGCGCACGGGUGAGUAACACGUGACUAACCUACCCUUGAGUGGGGAUAACCUAGGGAAACCUGGGCUAAUACCGCAUAACACCUACGGGUCAAAGGAGCAAUUCGCUUUAGGAGGAGUCGCGGCAGAUUAGUUAGUUGGCGGGGUAAUGGCCCACCAAGACGAUGAUCUGUAUCCGCCUGAGA